CCAGCUUGGCCACCGCCCGCAGUGGCCAUGCACCUUGCAUACUCCUUCUUAAACCGGCCAUCCUUAUCCGCAAGCACAGUGCCACCGUUGUUCUCCUCCUUUCUCUGUUUUCCGCCGCCACCAGCAGAGCUCCCGUCGCCGGCGAAAUUCGUCGUAUGCGUUCCACCUCCGCCGCUGCGUCUUGUGACUCCAUCUUGCCCUUGAGCUGCUGUUGCUCCUAGCCAAUCACCCCCAAUCCGCUCCGACACCCUGGCCGGCUUCCUUCAUCUCCAUAGCCGGUGAAGGCGCCGCCGUAGCCCACAAUCGUAGUUAGUCAUGCUCCAAGUCUCUAUGCGAGUGAUGAGUAGCUUCUCAGAGUCGUGGUGAACUCUUGAAUCUUCCAAUCGCCUCCAUUUUAUCUCUACUGCAUCAUGGUGGCCGACCCAUCGCUGUGCCACCGUGCCGUUGCUGCCGGUGCCGCUGCCCGCGCGGCCAUGCCAUCUCAAGCCAACAGGUGCGCACUAGUCCGAGCAAGCUCCCCCGCUACUCCACUGCCGCCGACGAGCACCCCAACGCCGAAACUACGAACUCCGACAAGCUCCUCUGUUUUUAGUACGCGACCAGGGACCCCGUGCAACAAUUUGAAGUUCUCCAGGGGUCUAAUUGGGCAGACCGUGACUCAAGUGAAUAGUGCCAUAAGGACUUGUUUGCAGAUGUUUUGUUGGAUGUUUGGAAAUUCAUAUCUGGAGUUUGGUAACUCCAAUUUUAGUGAACUAAAUUUUGUUGUGCUCCUGGAGAUGUCGAGUUUUUAUGAAAAAUAUUAAAAUGGCCAUGUUUUGUAGUAAAAUAAUUAGUUAUGAUUUAUUCCUUUUAAUUAUGUUUAAAAAGGAGAAAUUCAUAUCUCAUUCUGUGUUGCUCCUACUGGCCUAAAAUUUUUAUGGUGUUCUCAUGAUGUUAUAUGAGUGGUGCAGUAAAGAUUUCAUGUUCAGUGGAUGAAAUAUGUUUAAGUUAUUAAUUUAUCUUGUUUACUGCUUAUUAAAUUGCUUAUAAUUAAAAUAAAAAUGAAUAAAUAUAAAAUAUGGUUCCUCUACCUUUAUAUGAUGUUGUUAUAUCAUAUGUAGACAUAAUAUAGCUAUGUGUUUGUAGAAAAUAUUGAAUUCUAUAUUUAUCUUGCUCUCACAUGCUUAAUAAUAUUUAAGAUUUGUCUUUUUCAUAAUAAUUAAUUUAUUACACCUGAGCAUGUGAAAUUUGUACAGUAGUCACAUCUUGUCAUCACCAAUCUCUCCUAAAGUAUCCAAGUGAGGUGUUUGCCACACCACUUAACAAUAGUACAUAUUCCAUUUUAUAUAAGAAAGCAGAUUAGAAUUAAGAAAUCAUUAACCUUAAUGAACUUUGGUAUUUAAUUAUUGUUUGGUGUUUGCUUAAUUACUACCAUUAAUUCUUAAUUAAGGGUUAAUUAGGAUAAGUGGGAUUAAUAAUUAGUUAAUUAAAAAUAGUUACAAAUUAAGAAAAGUCUUAGAUUACUAUAGCAACCUCUUGGGUAAAAACACUAAAGUAGUAUACAACCUCUAAUUACUAUUUCAACUGGCACCGAGAAGGAAAAUUGUACCCAACUAAAUCCUUCUUGUAUGUCUGUCAUAAGCAUAUCAUGAGCAUACAUCAUUUUGCGUAUAGUGCACGUGACCGAAGGAGUGACCGUUGAACCGAACCCCGAGGUUAGUGUUGCAUUCAAGGAAGUUGAAACCGAGACAUGGGAAGUCUCCGAGGAACCCACUCAGCUCUGCAACCAAGGCAAGCCCCGGAUGCAUUAACCAUUCCUUGAAUCAAAAUGAUGCAUUAUGUAGUCACGAAUUGGGAUAACCAAUUGUUGCAUUUACGACCUUGAUAUUUGUUAUCUUGUCCUUGGUACCUAUUUUAUUUAAAACUGCGUAGUGAUGCUUAGACCUGCUUAUUAGGUAGGUUUUCAAAUAAUAAAUUUGAAGGGUUGUUGUGGAAUACUUUUAUUGUCAAUGAUGUUUCAACUUGAGACCGGUCGGUGGACUUGCUUUAAGAAUGGAGUUUUAAAGUAGUGUCUGCAACUGUGUCGAUUAAGAACCGGUCCGUUGAUGGCCUCCUGGGUUGAGAAUUUAUAGUACUAGCCACUUGCCCUCGGUAAGCCCGGUCUGGUGAGUCCUCGAUGAGAGCGGCUACUCGCGCACUGGGCGUGGAGUGAUGGCGAGAGUAGCGUGUAUCCUCCUAGCAAAUGGGCUGGACAGUGGAGUACUGUGCUCUUGGGUGCCGCGAACCCGGUCAGAUCUUGGGAAUGCCAGAUUUGAGUUGACAUAUGCAAGAUUCAGUUCUACAUAUGUCGGGUGGUUAGGAAGUCCAGCUGGACUGCUAAGCGGUUUGAAUCGUCGUUGCUCCCUGAUUGGGAGACUCAAUCCACUGACCCUCAUCGUAGUUAACAAUGCAAUUAAGUUAAGAAUGGGGGAAGAUGGAAAUGUCUCAGGGUGUUCGGAUCCCAAUUCCCGGACUCACAGUGACAUGAAGCUAUGGCCGUCAAAUAAAUAUCACUCUUGUUAGGAAUUAGUAAUUCACGGACUCGUUUGUGAAAAGCAACUAGAUAGACUAUCCUCGAAUUCGUCUGCCUCUCGAGGUGACCAGUUUGAGGCUAAAACAUGAAAGUAAGGAUCCACUAUUAGUAAGCUUUUAUGCAAAACAACUUGGUUUCUUGCUCAGCCUCUCCUUGUCUAUCCUAAAGCCCGCCUUCCUAAGUUCUCCCCUUUUAUAUCGGGUAAGUCUUGUUGAGUACUCCCGUACUCAGGGUUCUUUAACCCGUGUUGCAGGUGCUGACUUGUGCUGCGAAUGGAGGUCAUGUCGGUGGGCACGAUAUGAUUUGUCCACCUCUUCUACCUUAGAAGCUUCACCUAAGUUGCUUCCACUACUCUACACUCCUUUUGGGAACUUAGUUAAGUUUAUAUUUCAUCAUAUUUUGUAAAUUAAGUUAUGAAUCUUCCGCACUCAAAUGGAAGUGAUUUUUUUUGUAAUAAACGUUGUAAUGUUGUGGUAACUCCAUGUUGAUCCUGUAUGAGUUAUAAAAUGUGGAUGUUUUGGGGUCCUCCUAGGGCACCCAACAGACUAUCCGAGUUAUAUGACUCUCAUCUGCAGUAGGCAGAGGUCUUAAGGACAAUGUUAGGUGCAUCUGGGCCAUAUAAUUGGGGUGGUUCUGCUACAGAGUGGUAACGGAGCUCAUACAUGGAUCUUCGACAACAUUACUUAUGAAAAACUUCAAAAGGAAUUUCCAAAUUAAAAGUUUUGAGGAUAACAACUUAUAAAUGUUCCUUAACUUUUCUUAUGCUUGGUGUCCAAGUUCUACGAAGACUUUCUGUUGACUCAAAUAGAAGGCAUUGAAAGAGGAUUCAUGUCUUCGGUAAGCCAAGUGAAGAAUCAAACUAGUCCAACAAUGCUUCGUCAACAGUCUUGUAGCCUUCUAUCUGAAGCAAUAAAGAUAAUGUAUAAAGUAUGCCCUAUAUAAGUAGUUACCUCCUAGCUAACAUUGUGAAGACGUACAGGGCGAGCAUACAUCAUAUCAUUCACUUCAAAAUAAUGUUACGAGGAUGUUAUAGAUUCCCUUUUUAAUCCAGGACAGCUAUUCUCCUUAUAGUCGUUCUAUUCGAUAAAUCUUGUCAUAUGCCAGGUCUCAUCCAAUUAAAUAUCCUUUUGACAAUCCUUGUUCCAUAAAGUUCCCAUCCUUGGGGAUACUUUUGGAUGCAUAUUGAUAGAUCCCAAACAUAAAUGUGAAGACCUGAGAUAACUCCUUGACUUCUCAAUUCAUGCAUGUGUCACACCUUGAUUACUUCUACUCUGACACAUUCUUUUAACUCUAAAUACCAACAUAGGUUGUUGAAAGCUAUUGUAACUAUACUCUAUAGUAGGUACCAUGAUUUGUGAUCAUGUUAUAGCGUUGAACCUUGUAGAAUCCUGUGGAACCGCGACCAUAAUGAUAUACUACCAGGUGCUCGUUAAACAUCGAGAUCUCAGGUCAUGCUCCACUAUAGUCUAUAGUUAGUUCGCUUUCAUUCUCCUCGGAAGCUCAUUUGGAGAUUCAUAUCUUCUUAUGAAUUCUCUAAAAUUCUUGAUUGACUACAACAUUCUAUUGAUCUUAGUUGUAAUUCUCGGACCAAUUGUAACUGUUUUAUGAACUUCUCAGAACUUAAUAACUUAACCCCAUUGGUUUCAGUACCCUAGAAAUCUCGAGAUGAUAUUUCUUUAAGGGGGAAGGGCUGUAACAUCCCUGAUGUUAGGCAUAUUAAAACUUGAUCAUGUCAUCAUAAUCAUUGCAAAGCAUGUUUGUUAAGCACAUCAUGGUGCAUCAACUUAAAAUAAGUCUAAUUUGGUUGACUAUGCUUAGGGAUCUAAAGUGUGUCAUCUUGUGAAGUGAUGCUUGUGGUGGUGGUUUAGCUUCUAGUCAAGGAGGGUUGCAAGGAAAUAGCUAAGGAAAAACCCUAAUUUCAACCCUAGCUUUUACCCCCUUUUGUGUAACUUGAAAAGUAAGCAAAAUUUGAGGAUGACUUCAAAAGCAAAGUUUUAGAUCUUGUCGAGGUGUACAACUUUUGUGUUUUGAGUUUUUGAAGUUUCAAUGCAAAAUUCAACGUAAUUUUAAAAAUACAGAUUUUCAAAAAUUAUCCCCUUUUCAGUUUGAAUCUCUAAUUCAAAAUCUAUUUGGAAUCUUGAAAGGUGACCCAACUAAAAGUUGUAGGUCUUAGAAAAAUGAACAACUUUUAUUUUGGGAGUUUUUCAAGUUGUUGAGAAAAAUCAAAAGUAAUUUUAGAAUUUCUGUUUGGACCAAAUUCAAAUUGGAUUUGCCCCCAAUUUGGAAAUUUGAAAUUCAAACUAUUUUGGUCAAAUUUAUCACUUUCCUUUCAAAAUCUGAAUUUGAGCCUAAAAGGAAUGUUGUAGGAAUUUUUGUGCUGCACAUUUCUUGUUUUGGCCAAUUUUUGAGUUUUCGUGGAAAAUAAAAAGUAAUUUCAAAAAUAAAAAGGGAAAUGGAUUGGAUUGCUACAGUAGCCUGCCAAUCAACGCAGGGCAGCUCCUGCUUGCCGCCGUGCACCGCCGUGGCCAGCUUGGCCACCGCCCGCAGUGGCCACGCACCUUGCUUACUCCUUAACCCAGCCAUCCUUAUCUGCAAGCACAGUGCCGCCGUUGUUCUCCUCAUUUCUCUAUUUUCUGGCACCACCAGCAGAGCUCCCGUCGCCAGCGAAAUUCAUCGUAUGCGUUCCACCUCCACCGCUGCGUCUUGCGACUCCAUAUUGCCCUUGAGCUGCUAUUGAACCCAGCCAAUCGCCCCCAAUCUGCUCCGACACCCUGACCGGCUCCCUUCUUCUCCAGAGCCGGUGAAGGCGCAACCGUAGACCGCCACCGUAGUUAGCCGUGCUCCAAGUCUCUAUGCCAGUGACGAGUAGCUUCUCAAAGUCGUGGUGAGCUCCUGAAUCUUCUCAUCGCCUCCAUUUUAUCUCUACUGCAUCAUGGUGGCUGGCCCAUCACUGCGCCACUGAGUCGUUGCUGCCGGUGCCGCUGCCCGCGCAGCCAUGCCAUCUUGAGCCAUUGCGGGACAAGCUACGGCCACCAACUUGUGCGCACUAGUCGGACCAAGCUCUCCCGCUGCUCCAUUGCCGCCGACGAGCACCCCAAUGCCAAAACUGCCAACUCCGACGAGCUCCUCUGCUUUCAGUUCGCGACCAGGGACCCCGUGUGACAAUUUGCAGUUCUCCAGGGGUCUAAUUGCGCAAACCGUGACUCAGGUGAAUAGUGCCAUAAGGACUUGUUUGCAGAUGUUUUGUUGGAUGUUUGGAAAUUCAUAUCUGGAGUUUGGUAACUCCAAUUUUAGUGAACUAAAUUUUGUUGUGCUCCUGGAGAUGUCUAGUUUUUAUAAAAAAUAUUAAACUGGCCAUGUUUUGUAGUAAAAUAAUUAGUUUUGAUUUAUGCCUUUUAAUUAUGUUUAAAAAGGAGAAAAUCAUAUCUCAUUCUGUGUAGAUCCUACUGGCCUAAAAUUUUUAUGGUGUUCUAAUGAUGUUAUGAGAAUGGUGCAGUAAAGAUUUCAUCUUCAGUGGAUGACAUAUGUUUAAGUUAUUAAUUUAUCUUGUUUAGUGCUUAUUAAAUUGUUUAUAAUUGAAAUAAAAAUGAAUAAAUAUAAAAUAUGGUUCCUCUACCUUUAUAUGAUGUUGUUAUAUCAUAUCUAGACAUAAUAUAUCUAUGUGUUUGUAGAAAAUAUUGAAUUCUAUAUUUAUCUUUAUCAUAAUAAUUAAUUUAUAACACCUAAGCAUGUGAAAUUUGUAUAGUAGUCACAUCUUGUCAUCGCCAAUCUUUCCUAAAAAAAUUAGUAUCCAAAUGAGGUGUUUGCCACACCACUUAACAAUAGUACAUAUUGCAUUUUGUAUAAGUAAAGAAAGGAGAUUAAAAUUAAGAAAUCAUUAACCUUAAUGACCUUUGGCAUUUAAUUAUUGUUUGGUGUUGAUACUUAAUUACUGUCAUUAAUGCUUAAUUAACGGUUAAUUAGGAUAAGUGGGAUUAAUAAUUAGUUAAUUAAAAGUAGUUACAAAUUAAGAAAAGUCUUAGAUUACUAUUGCAACCUCUUGGGUAAAAACACUAAAGUAGUAAAAAACCUCUAAUUGCUAUUUCAACUUGCGUUUGUACCGAGAAGGAAAAUUGUACCCAACUAAAUCCUUCGUGUAAGUCUAUCAUAAGCAUAUCAUGAGCAUACAUCAUUUUACGUAUAGUGCACGUGACCGAAGGAGUGACCGUUGAACCAAACCCCGAGGUUGGUGUUCCAUUGAAGGAAGUUGGAACCGAGACUUGGGAAGUCUCCAAGGAACCCGCUCAGCUCUGCAACCAAGGCAAGCCCCGUAUGCAUUAACCCUUCAUUGAAUGUUUUAAAUCUUUUUUUUUACUUAUGAAUCAAAAUGCUGCAUUACGUAGUCAGGAAUUGGGAUAACCAAUUGUUGCAUUUACCACCUUGAUAUUUGUUAUCUUGUCCUUGGUACCUAUUUUAUUUAAAACUGCGUAGUGAUGCUUAGACCUACUUAUUAGGUAGGUUUUCAAAUAAGAAAGUUUGAAGGGUUGUUGUGGAAUACUUUUAUUGUCAAUAAUGUUUCAACUUGAGACCGGUCGGUGGACUUGCUUUAAGAAUGGAGUCUUAAAGUAGUGUCUCCAAUUGUGUCGAUUAAGGACUAGUCCGUUGAUGGCCUGCUGGGUUGAGAAUUUAUAGUACUAGCCACUUGCCCUUGGUAAGCCCGGUCUGGUGAUUCCUCGACGAGAGCGGCUACUCGCACACUGGGCGUGGAGCGAUGGCGAGAGUUGUAUAACACUCCAAAAUUUUUAUUUUGGAUUGUUAUUAGAAAACACUAAAUUAAAUAAGGAUUUAAAUUUUUUCUAAAAUAUUCCGAGAUUUUUAAUUAUUGAAUUCAAAAAGAGAGAAAAAUGUGGAAUUUUAAAUUUUUUAUAAAGAUAAGUGAUGAGUGUUUUAUUUAAUGUUGUGUGCUUUGUGCCCUAGCUUUGUUUAGGUUCUUUGUGAAAAAAAAAAUGAAUUUUAAAUUUUCUAGCAAGCAUGUUUAGGUCCUUUUGAUUUUAGGAAUGAUAAAACACUAAAAGUCCUUUUUGAAAACUAAUUUAUAUUUAAAAAGUUGUUUAAACAAUAUAGGUUUUUGUUUUCACAGAUAGGUAAGGAAACAAUUCCAAAAUAAUCUCAAGGUAGCGAAUCAAAUUUUGGUUUUCAAUUUGUCAUGCAAAAUGUUUUCAUAAUCACAUUUGAUUUAGUUAAAAAUAAUAAUAAUAAGGUUUUCCCUUUUUCCCACCCCUCCCUCUGUCUAGCUCCCGGCCCAGCUCGCAAACGCGGCCCAGCGCCCCGCCUCAGCCUGCUAGCGGCCGCAGCAGUGCGGCCCGCGUGCGCCUCCCGCUUGGGCCUUAGCCCAGCAGUACCGUGGCCCAGCAGCAGCAGCGGCCCGCAACGCCACCUCGCCCUGAGCCUCUGCCAGCUGGGCCCCACACGUCAGUCGUCUUCCCCAACCUCCGUCCGCUUCGGGCGGAUGAGAAUGCCACAGCCGCCGCAAGAUCUUCCCCCUGCGCGCACCGCGAUGUUGCCCGGGCCUAUAAAGGCCCUGUCUAGAGCCCCGUGCCCCCCUUCGGAACCCUAGGGCAGCAGCCGCCACCUCUCGUGCUCAAGUCGCGAGCCACCAUAGCCGCCGCUGUCCCGAGCUCCGCGCCGCCGUGGAAUCUCUGUUUCCGCUACGUCACCGACGACGAGGACGGUUCCCCGAGCUUCGCUGCGUGGUAAGGAAUCCGCCGGUGCCCUUCCCGGUCAUCCUCCCUCUCUCAGUCGCGCGCGCGCCCUCGCCGGAGUAGUGCGGCCGUUGUCGAGCCGCCCCACCUCGCGCACCCGCCUUCCCGGCCACUACCUGUCCCCGUAGACGCGCACACCGCGCUCGCUUUGCCAGGACGAGCACGAUGGUGCCCUCGGAACAGCCUCCCAUGCACCACAGCGCCGUCACGGCGAGCCGCAGACGCGCGGCCAUGGCGCCGCCGCGGCCAGGCCCCCCCUCCGCCGCCACGCACCAGCCCCGGUCCACUAUGGACCGGGCACCCCACGCCUGCACCCGAUCCACCGUAGACCGGCCAGUCCCGAGCUGACACGUAGCAAGCCAGGCUGGCCACCCCGCGCCGCCCUGGCUCAUUUGUAAAAAGGCCCUCGGCCUUCGUAGUAAUCAACUCGCGGUCCAUCUAGUUAAAAAAGAAUUAAAUCUAGGUCCUUGGUUUUAGCAGUUUAGCCCCUGAUCCAUUGGUUUUUAUAGAUUUAGUCCAAAAUGCUUUUAAAAUUCAGUUUUAAUUAUUUAAAAUACAAAAAAAAUAGUUCUGUUAAUCACAGUUUUGCCACUGAUCUAGUUUUGGCCAUAGAAUGCUCGUUUUAACUCCGAUUGAGCCCGUUCUUGUCGCGUUAGGUUCGUAUCGACGUAAACUAUGCUUUAGUAGCAAUGUUCACCAUGUCUGAUACUUUUAGAUUUCAUCAUAAAUGUUAUUUUGUAAAUGCUUAUUCAAUAAUCAUUGGAAAUCAAAAGCAACUUAGGGGUUAGUAAAUCUCUGAUCUUUUUCAUAAAAUAAGUACUAGUAUGUUCUAUGCCAACUUAAAUGUCUUUUUAGUUGUGAUCUACUUAAUCCAAUCUUAUUUCAUAAAUGCUCUGUAUAACUUGUCACCAAUUCCUUGUUUUCUGAUUAAAAGCAGAAAUGUGACUUAAAUGAUGUAGAAUGGUUUGUAAUUAGAUUUUGACUAAAAUUUAACUCCAGCUUUUAUAAUUCUUUAUAAUCUGGUCCAUUCAAAUUUGAGAUAUUUCUCUAAAAAGUCUAUCACCAUCUUUUAUGAAAUAAAAUACGACCAGCUUAUAGUCGUCUUCUUCGUUACACGUCGAACCUCGAAAGUCGUGUCCAUUUAACGAUAGCUCCGGUCUCAAUCGUUCUUGCGUUGUCACGAUCAUAGCAACAAGCCGUGUCGUUUAGUACUAUCUCUUUCAAAGCUUUUCUUUUGGUUGAUGCUUGUUCUUAGUCGUGAUUGUCUGUUUGUCUGUUUGUGUUGCUUGUUUGUUGCGAAUAGAAGAAGCGUGGUUUGUUAGCGCCCGAAUGUCACGAGCUGAGGACCGACAGUCGAAGCAGAAGUUGGAGAUUAGAAGAAAGAAGCCAAAGAAUUCUGAGCAGAUAUACACUGGGAAUAAAGGCAAGUGCAGGCACCCUUUGAUCAUAUUGUACCUAUGAAUUUUAAAUAUAUUUACUUUCCAUUGCAUGUGUCUUAAUACUACAAACCAUAAGGACAUGACUAGCCCUGUACUAUAUUCCUUGUAAUCCUGGGUUUAUACAUGGGUAGUAUAGUGAACUGUAGAUAUGCUUAGCUGCUCUGUUCAUCUAUUCCAUAUAAUAAAUGAAAGUAAAUAAUCUUGCCUAAUGAAUUAUUCAAUGAUGAUUAAUGUUUAAAUGAUGAACAAUGGUCACUUUGGUGAUGGAGAUGUUGCAGUGCUUGUGAGCAUCAUGGUUUCUUGAGGAAAGGGGGAGCGGGUACUGUUGGUUGGCCCGGUUGUCGGGCGUACCCGUCUCUGCACUCUGUAAGGACUUAGUCAUGGAGCGGCCCCCUGGGACAUACAGUGUAGCUCCAAGCUAUAUGGCUCUGGCUUGACUAAUUAGCAGGACCUCGACUAGUAGGGUGUUACUUUCUGGGUAGGCGUGAGGAAGUAACUUGGGUAACGAAUAUUAAGUUGUCGGUUGAUCGGUAUGUCAUGGCUAUGGGUAUUGACUGCCGAGCGCCCCGGCAAAAACUUACGAGUGGCAUCCUAUUAGUUGGACCCUGUGAAAGGUCUCGUAGUGAGACCGUACCUGCUCACCUUGGUAGUGUUUUGGGGAGUCGCGAUCCCAGGCAAAUGGGAAUCACGACUUGGAGUGAAAGUGCACACCUCUACAGAGUGUAAAACUGAUAUAUCAGUCGUGCUCACGGUCACGAGCGGCCCAGACUCUGACAUGAUGAGCAAAUUGGAAUCACAUGGAACUUAGAGGCGGAACUUGGUUGAGGUUGCUACCUCAUGCUUUGGCGGAAUGGCUAUUCCGUGUUGGUAGGAUUGCUAUCAUGUGUUCUUAAUUGGGAUUGCUAUCCCCUAACCUUAAUGGGGUGGCUACCCCAAGUUACUAUCCGAGGUUGCUACCUCGGUAAUCUUAAUAAUAAUUAUUAUUAUAAUGAUGAGUAAUAAUAUUGUUAAUAUACUUUCAUCUAAUUAAGGGUUGGGAUGCUUCACUCAUAUUUAGUAAUAGGUUGUUUUAAUAAAAGAAUUAUAAUAAAAGUUUACCAACUAAAAAGCUCACUGCAGUUAAACAGUGUCAGCUUUUCCUUUGAUUAAGCCUCAUGUCAUUAUACUUUCCGCCUGUACUUGUUGAGUUCGACAUGAACUCGCCCUUGCUAUUUCCCUCACACCCCAUUGUGUAGUAAAGUGCUGCUCAGAAGAAGGACAGAUAUGCUAUGAAGUUUUCUAGAAGUAUAUCAGAAGUGCUUGGUGUACGGAGCCCCAAGUCAACCGUCCCUGAGAAGAAUGGAGCCUAAGAAGUUUAGCUACUGUUUCCGCAUACUCUGAUGUUUGUAAGUGUUAUUAUAAAUAUGUUUUCCGCUAUAUAUAACAUUGUUUCCAAUAUUUCUAUUUUUUGUUGUAUGUGUGGACUUUCUAAAUCCAAGGUGUGACAGACCGUCAAAUUUAUACAAGUUUAAGUACGAAUGUCCCCGUUUAACACGUUGACACACACAUACUCUCACUUAUAUAAACCCGGUAGUCUGCCGAGUGUCACGAAGGACCUCAGUGAAUCAACU
Molecule: long non-coding RNA, 11341 nt
Filed under: Sorghum bicolor (sorghum)
Lineage: Eukaryota; Viridiplantae; Streptophyta; Magnoliopsida; Poales; Poaceae
Description: long non-coding RNA (SBIC_LNC014245)
Source: RNAcentral